This 200-nucleotide unclassified non-coding RNA is filed under the name Humicola sp. RNAcentral's name for it is "partial internal transcribed spacer 2". The record is from RNAcentral. Lineage: Eukaryota; Fungi; Ascomycota; Sordariomycetes; Sordariales; Chaetomiaceae.
UUAAGUUCAGCGGGUCUUCCUACCUGAUCCGAGGUCAACCUUGGGUAAAUAAGGCUUUUUAACGGCCGGAACCCGCAGCACGCCCUGAGCGAGAUGUAUUACUACGCUCGGAGUGACUAGCGAGCCCGCCACUGGUUUCAGGGCCUGCCGGCAGGCCGCAGGUCCCCAACCACAAGCCGGGGGCUUGAUGGUUGAAAUGA